This 253-nucleotide ribosomal RNA is filed under the name uncultured bacterium. RNAcentral's name for it is "partial 16S ribosomal RNA". It matches the Rfam family "Bacterial small subunit ribosomal RNA", at positions 524 to 776 of the family's 1533-position model. The record is from RNAcentral.
GACAGAGGGUGCAAACGUUGUUCGGAAUUACUGGGCGUACAGCGCGUGUCGGCUGCUCUGCAAGUCGGAUGUGAAAGCCCUGGGCUCAACCUAGGAAGUGCACUCGAAACUGCAGAGCUGGAGUCCUGGAGAGGAAGGCGGAAUUCUCGGUGUAGAGGUGAAAUUCGUAGAUAUCGAGAGGAACACCGGUGGCGAAGGCGGCCUUCUGGACAGUGACUGACGCUGAGACGCGAAAGCGUGGGGAGCAAACAGG